GCAGUGGGGAAUAUUGGACAAUGGGCGCAAGCCUGAUCCAGCCAUGCCGCGUGAGUGAUGAAGGCCUUAGGGUUGUAAAGCUCUUUCAGUGGGGAAGAUAAUGACGGUACCCACAGAAGAAGCCCCGGCUAACUUCGUGCCAGCAGCCGCGGUAAUACGAAGGGGGCUAGCGUUGUUCGGAUUUACUGGGCGUAAAGCGCACGUAGGCGGUUUGUUAAGUGAGAGGUGAAAUCCCAGAGCUCAACUCUGGAACUGCCUUUCAUACUGGCAAGCUAGAGUCCGGAAGAGGUAAGUGGAACUCCUAGUGUAGAGGUGGAAUUCGUAGAUAUUAGGAAGAACACCAGUGGCGAAGGCGGCUUACUGGUCCGGAACUGACGCUGAGGUGCGAAAGCGUGGGGAGCAAACAGGAUUAGA
This 414-nucleotide ribosomal RNA is filed under the name uncultured bacterium. RNAcentral describes it as "bacterial SSU rRNA". It matches the Rfam family "Bacterial small subunit ribosomal RNA", at positions 351 to 782 of the family's 1533-position model. The record is from RNAcentral.